AAGUCGUAACAAGGUCUCCGUAGGUGAACCUGCGGAGGGAUCAUUACUGAGUGAGGGGCCCUCGGGCUCGACCUCCCACCCUUUGUGAACACAACUUGUUGCUUCGGGGGGCGACCCUGCCGUUUGCGCGGCGAGCGCCCCCGGAGGCCUUCAAACACUGCAUCAUUGCGUCGGAGUUUAAGCAAAUUAAACAAA
Molecule: unclassified non-coding RNA, 195 nt
Filed under: plant metagenome
Description: partial contains small subunit ribosomal RNA and internal transcribed spacer 1
Rfam family: Eukaryotic small subunit ribosomal RNA (bases 1-46)
Source: RNAcentral